Molecule: long non-coding RNA, 937 nt
Organism: Gallus gallus (chicken)
Lineage: Eukaryota; Metazoa; Chordata; Aves; Galliformes; Phasianidae
Source: Ensembl
CCAAAAUAACAAGUCACAGGAUGCCUGUCUAGAGGGUAGCUUUGCUGAAAAUAACCUGGAGACUGAACAGAAGUCAGCAGUGUGUCCUUGUGCAUUAGAAGAUAACUCUGUGCUGAGCCAAGGGCAUGCUGGACAUUAAUGAUUCUUCCUCAUUGUUCAGUUAUUGUGAGAGCAUUAUCUGGAGAACUCUGUGAAGUGUUAGUUCCCCAGUACAAGAAAGUCAUUGACAUGCUGGAGCAAGCUGGUGCAAGGAAGAUGGUCAAACAGAGGAAAACUCACCCAGGAAGGAGGCUCUGCCCUUCAAGAUAUUCAGUACAUAAUUGGGAAACCACCUGGAAGUUCCUCUCUUCAAGAUGUCCUGUCAUUCCAAAGGCAAACAGGGACAACCACUUAAUUAACAGCAAUUUUGGUUCGUCUAUGAAUUCUAAAUCUCAAAAUCACUGUAAGCCAUGGUGUGGAGGAAGUGAUGUGCUGCUUCUCCCUCUGUAGAGCAAGGUGUUCCUGUCAAAAUCACAGCUUCAUCAUGAUUUAAUGGAAUCUGGUUCCUUGGGUCACCUCUGGGAAUGGAUAAACACCAACUUUGAGACAAUUGUCUGUAUGUGACUAACCACCAUUGUAUGAUGAAACACUAUGGUUCAUAUUUUCAAAAAGUGUACAUGUAAUCAGCAAAGCAAAUCAAUCUGCUGCAACUAUGGAAAUAAGCUCUAGUUGAUUUAGCAGUUUCAGCAUUACAUAUAUUCCACAUUGGUUUAUAGAAGGAAAAAGUUCUUUUGCCAUUAGAUACUGGUAUUGUUCAAUGAAAAUCAAAUACUAAACAGCUUGAAUGUAUCAUGAAAAAAAAAAAUACUGCCAAAUAUAAAGCACGUAAAGUCACCCUAUAUAAUAAAGAGGAGUUGUGGAUUUAAAUUUGGGUCUGUCACUUUCACUGAAGAAUACC